AGUGCCACCGUGACACGAAUGCAUCCUUAGGAUCUCGGCAGAUGUACACGAUUCGGCAACCUUGGAUGCUUAUGGACUCUGGAAGCAAUGAAAGGGGCAUGUGAGUAGCAAGGAUCCUCGGAGGCGGGAGUUUUUCGAUGAAGGUCAGGUCCCCAUUUAAAGGGAUUUCAACGUCAAUGGUCGGAAUGACUUCUUGGGGGUGACGGGUGAGAAGCGGGUGGUUACCAGAGUCAUAGUGAGAACGGUUGGUGAUAGCAAAUGAGAGAGCCUUCAACCAAGUUGUACCACACUUGGGGUUCGUGGCGAGGAUGAUAUCGUCAUGGCGAGCCUUGAAGGUCGCCUCCAGGAGCAUAAUCCUCUCAAGAAAAAUCCGUCGAAACCAGAAGUUCUUGUAGAGAAAUAGUGGCUCUGACGGAGUCUCUCUCAUUGGAAGUUUGGAUAUGAGAUCAGUACCAUGGCUUUCGGGCGAGCUGUUUGUGGCCCUUCUCUCCUCCUUGGCCUGUGACAUUGCUCAGCUGCUUUGGAGUUUUUGCAGUCUCUCGCUGGGAUGGAAUGGAUGGUGUAGCUGGUACGGAUUGAGCAGCACUGCUGGCGUGCGGAACAUAAAUAGCAGGUAGCCCUUCGUGAGCCAAUGCGGCAAUGCCCAACAUUCUUGCUCCAAAGAGAUCUAGAAGAAAAAAAGUUUAAGGGCACCGACACUACCGGGAAUCAUGGGCCAGAUCGACGAACAGAUGCCAGCUGGACCCAACUAGCUCUGAGCUAGUUGGGCGUGGCAUCUGAUUAUAUUAUAGAGGGAAUACGAUCCGGUUGGUAUAGAUGCCGACAUAUCACCCUAUCAAGAUUGAUCCAGAAAACUGGCAUGCAGAUCUCAUGGUGUCUCACUUGAUGCUAAUCAGUGUUACACAUAAAUUAACAGCAGUGAAUGAACUGCUUCAAGUUUCCAGCGACAAAACAGUGGACUAUGAGUAGCACUUAAAUCAGCACAAAACAGUGGAACUACGCCAGUUGAAGUAGUCUCGAUCAUCACCACUGUGAUUAGCAGUAGAUAUCUGUUCUAUUCCAAAUCUUUCACCUUUGGAACUUUAGAUGUGUGUAUUUUCACAUCAUCAACUAUUUAAGUUGAGCGCCCUACGACAACCGACUCUAAUAGAGAUGAAGUUAUUCAUUACACAGUUUAUAGUACAAUCAUGACAGGGCAAAUGGUUUUAGAAACUGGCAGCAUGAAUGGACUUAUUUUCCUGAAAAUGGAAUCAACAUGACUGGUGAGUUAUGAUUAUAUUUCAUGUCGCCAUGACCUAUUAGUUCCUUGAUCGUGUAUGGGAGUAAUGUUGAAGUUUCUCAAGCUAUGAGGAAAACAAUGACUUCAUGGUGGAAAGGGAAAGACAUUAUACUGCUACUUCGCUUUUACUCUAUGGUGUUUUUGACAGUGAAGGGUUGCAGAAUCUGACCGAAAAUAGUGGGGAGAAUGGCUUUUGAUGAUGCACACUUCAGCAGGGCUUUGGGAUUGCAUCAAAUUUUUUAAUGUUAAAGUGAUAACAGAUGAACGUACGUGAAUGCAUUCCAUGUCAUGUGCUACCAGAAUGCUAUUCAUGCUUUUUGUUUGCAGCUAGUGCAUGCCAAACCCAGGAUGUGCAUGUACAAGAUGGCAGGCGGCAAUAUAUAUACAUGAGUCUUAUUAGUUAUCACAAUGAAUAAUAAGUUCAGAUAGACAAACAUCAUCUGUGCAGUCCCUGAACCAUCAGGAGCUCGGAGCACACGGCGUCGAUGAGUUCUUCUCCAGGUCCUGCUCCCUGGUGGACGGCACCGGUCUUGACACCCCACCGCGCCCGGCUGGGAAUCAGGCCUGGUCCGACCCUGCGCUGCAUCUGGUGCCUCUUCAACGGGUCUUCGACAGGCUCGGCGCGGCGCUUCAUGGGCCACCAUUGAGGCACGAGGUCGGGCUUGCCCUGGACCGGCUGCAGCUGGGCGGCGACACACCAGCUGUGGCCACGGAAGGGCUCAUCACCGUCGUGGCGGCAUCUUCGGCAACAGCCGCCGCAUCUGCACCGGGCGGAUCGACGGUCAUGGCGCCGGCAGGCACCCCCCGGCGCCCUCCGCUUAUGACCAUCCUGGGCUGCUCGCAGUGCCACCUGUUGGGCCGCUCAUUGGGCCAGCCGCUGCCACGGCGUGGGGGGCUCCACGGGCCAACCUCCUGGGUCCUGACUCUGGCUCGGGCGCGCGCGCCUUGGCGCCUGCUGGGCUGUUCCCCAGCGGUGCGCAGGAUGGGCCAGCGCUCUCCCCUAGGCCGGUCGCUGCUACCGUGGAGGGGGCGAGCGCGCGGGCCACUCUCCCUGACGUCGUGGCGCUCUCCUCUGGGCCGGUCGACGCUGAGCUGGGCCAGGACACCGCUCCGCCUGAGGAUGGCCAAGACACACCUGCUACAACAUUGCACGACAUGCAGAUACCUACAUCCGGCACCAUGGGCGCCCAUGCUGCUGCCCACGCUCCUGCUGAAGUCAUCCAUGACACGGGGGCUACCUCCGCGGCGGAGGGUGGGUCUGUCAACGACCUCUUCGCCGCACCGGCCCCGCUGAUACUGCAGCAGCUCCCGAUGCGUCGCCAGCGCACGCGCCGAAGCUUUGACAUGUCCUCAGUCCGCAGGAGUGCUAGACUUGCCACGAAGCCGUUGGUGCCAGCAAUGAAGCGCGCCCAACGCAACUUGUGGCGCAAGUUAGGUGUCUCGGAUCAUGAGCUACGUCCAGUUGAGGACAUAUUGCAGGAAUACAUAAACUCACACCAGUGGCCGCUCCCGGACCAUAUCAUAGCAGCUAUGACGGCCCUGUUCGACCUGGACGACGAAGGAGCGGAAUAGAUCAAUUAAGCACUUAUCCAGCAUGCUGGACAAACAGUCCAUGACAUCCAGAACAAGCUCGCCCUAUGUCAAGAAUGACUCGCCGGGGACCUAUCUACAGUUGGAGAACUGCCAUGUAUCUGAACAUCCUAACGUACUGCUUUAUGUUUAAUCCUCUGCGCCCUGCUGGCUGCGACCUUCGGGCUAGGAGCUGCGAUAGCCUUUCCGGCUCGACCUUUCGGUUUUAUUGUACGUGACAUAGACUUCGCCCUGCUGGCCUCGACCUUCGGGCAACGCAUCUGCAUGUGCAUCAACCUUCCACCGCAAAUGUCGUCACUACAUACUCCGACGAGUUUCGUUAUCAUAGGUGCGCAGCCGUAGCCUCAUCCACCGCGGCCUGGUUUAGCGCAGCCUACAAGCACUACGAACACUACGCUCCUACCUACUGCGCCAUUAAGUCUUCCAAAUGCAUGUAGCUAGCUUCGACACCAUCAGUUGGAACGUGCGCGGCCUCAAUGCUCCCGCGAGAUGCAUGGUCGUCCAUGAAACAAUAAAAGCCACACCGUGCCAUAUUGCGUGCCUUCAGAAAACUAAGCUCAACCAAAUUGAUGCAACACUCGCUGCCUUCUUAGGUGGCUACCGCCUGUCUAAUUUCGCCUACAAACCAGCGCAGGGCACAAAGGGAGCAAUACUAAUUCUUUGGGAUGCCAAUUUCGUCGACCUUACUGAUAUCCAAAUCGGGCGCUUCUCACUUACGGCAACAGUAUCGGCCAAACACUACAGCACUGAUUAUCGCCUAACGACGGUCUACGGCCCAUCCAGGACGAACCUGAAAUUGGCAUUCAUGCAACAUAUGCGAAACAUGAAGCCCGACAACGAUACCAGGUGGUUAAUUAUUGGUGAUUUCAAUCUCAUAUACAAGGCACGAGACAAAAACAACAGAAGAUUGAACCUUAACCUGAUGCAUCGUUUCCAAAACACCCUAGCUUUCUGUGGCCUUAAAGAAAUUCAUCUACAAAACCGCAAAUACACGUGGAGCAAUGAAAGGCGCCAACCAACGCUUUCACAUCUGGACCGCUUCUUCUACAAUGAAGCCUGGGACAUCACAUUUGACGACCACACCCUACACGCCCUUUUCUCCUCUCACUCCGACCACUACCCUCUGUUGCUAGCGCAACUGUCCGGACCACGGAAACCACGACCGUUUAAAUUUGAGAACUUUUGGACAAAACUACCACAGUUUCAGGACAUUGUACAGCGAACAUGGUGCCUUCCAACGCACCAUACCGAGCCGUUCCACUGCCUAGGUCACAAGUUGCACUUAACGGCAAUGGCGCUCAGGAAAUGGAGCAAUUCCAUCAUCUCAGACGCUGAACUAAAGCUGCAGAUGGCACAAGUGGUGAUACUACAUCUAGAUACGGCACAAGACCUUAGAUCCCUCUUGGAUGCUGAAUUUGCCCUACGAGCCAAACUCAAAAAACGUAUUCUAGGGUGGGCAGUAAUCGAGCGAGCAAGGAGACGGCAGUCAUCGCGCAUCAACAAUCUACGUGAGGGAGAUGCGAAUACACGUUACUUCCAUCUUAAGGCCAACGUGCGAAGAAGAAAAAAUUUCAUACAAAGGCUGAGAUCCGACACAGGCUGGGCCCUCACGCAUCAAGACAAGCAAGAUGUCAUUCCUAACCACUUCAGCAGUUUUGUGAUGACACCCCAACAACGCACACGAGACCUGCGCUGGGAAAAUCUACACCACUCCCAGGAAGACCUUUCUGACCUAGACUAGUCGUUCGAAGAAAUGGAGAUCCUACAUGCCAUAAAACAAUUACCGCAUGAUCGGGCUCCCGGCCCUGACGGCUUCACAGGCCUCUUCUUCAAGACAUGCUGGAACACCAUCAAAGGAGACAUAAUGUCGGCGAUUAACGCUUUCUACAAUAUCCGCUGCAACGACCUUAACCUCCUAAAUAAGGCAAACAUCGUUCUUAUCCCUAAAAAGGAGGGUGCAGAAACCAUUCUAGAUUAUGGGCCAAUCAGCCUCAUCUACGCAUUUGCGAAAAUCAUCACUAAAGUUCUGGCGCUCUGACUCAGCCUUCAUAUGAAUGCCAUCAUCUCACCCUAUCAGAGCGCAUUCAUCAAGGGCCGUAGUAUUCAUGACAACUUCUUAUAUGUCAGAAAUAUUGCCCGCCGUUUCCACCGAAAGGCAACCCCGGUCCUAUUCAUGAAACUCGACAUCUCAAAAGCUUUUGAUUCAGUACGCUGGGACUACCUCAUCGAUUUGCUGCAGCACAAAGGCUUCCCUGCUCGUUGGAACCAAUGGAUUACGGCCCUCCUUGCCACCUCAACUUCAAAAGUGCUACUGAACGGCACGCCUUUGCCUCCGAUCCACCACGAAAGAGGCCUCAGACAGGGCGACCCGCUUUCACCCCUCCUUUUUGUUCUGGCCAUCGACCCACUACAGCACAUUAUCGCUCAGGCGACUCAGAGGGGCCUACUCACCAAGCUAGGAGGAAGAGCGGCAAGAUUUACAGCAUCCCUGUAGGCCGAUGAUGCGGUGAUUUUCAUUAAGCCCACACGUAAAGACAUCUCCAACUUGGCAAGCAUCCUGCAAAAAUUUGGGGAAGCCACAGGGCUACACACGAAUCUGCACAAGAUGCAGAUUGCGCCCAUUAGCUGUCAUACCAUUGACCUGGACCACUUACUUAACGAUUUGCCAACGACAAGAACAAACUUCCCAGUGCGAUACCUUGGCUUCCCAUUAUCAACAAGGCGCCUCAGGAAAAUUGAGUUCCAACCACUCAUAGAUAAAGUGGUAGGUAAACUAUCGUCAUGGACGGGACGUAACCUAACACAGGCCGGACGGAUAACCCUCACAAAGUCGGUCCUCUGUUCGCAGCCAGUAUAUUUCUUUACAGCUCUAAAACCAAGCAACGAAGUACUCCACGGCAUAGACAAAAUCCGAAAAAAAUUCCUAUGGGCAGGAGACCAACAACUAAUUGGGGGUAAAUGCAAAGUCAAUUGGACGAAAACCUGCUUACUAAAACAAUAUGGGGCCUGGGCAUCCCAGACCUGGAGAAAUUCGCACGAGCCCUCCGGAUAAGGUGGCUUUGGCAUGAAUGGGUGUCACCGAAAAAACCCUGGAACAACACGGAAACCCCAUGCGACGAGACUGACAGGCAACUUUUUGCUGCAUGCACGUCUAUCUCCCUGGGCGACGGCAAAAAAACCAAUUUCUGGGCAUCUGGAUGGCUACAUGGCCAGCAUCCCAAGGACAUCGCCCCGCUCCUCUACGCCAUUUCACGCAGAAAGAAUAGGAGCGUCCAUGAUGCCAUCAGUAAUAAUAACUGGAUCCGCGACCUCACAAUCGACAGCAACAUUACCGCUUCUCAUCUAACGUCGUUUGCCCACUUAUGGCACAUGGUCAAUGGUACGAAGCUCAGGACAGGGGAGGCUGACACUAUUACCUGGAAGCUGACAAAAUCGGGCAUGUAUACAACGGCCUCGGCAUAUAGAGCACAAUUCCUGGGUUGCACCGAAACACCCAAUAUAUCUUCCAUCUGGAAAUCAUGGGCGCCACCAAAGUGCAAAUUUUUCGCGUGGCUAAUUACACAAAACCGAGUUUGGUGAGCUGAUCGCUUGGCCAAGCGCGGUUGGCCCCACAACGCCACUUGCACUCUGUGCAGAUGCACUAUGGAGACUGGACACCACUUGUUAGCCGAGUGCAUGUACCCAAGGAGAAUCUGGGAUCAAACGGCGACGUGGCUGGCACAGCCUAAUCUACGGCCUAAUGCAUGGCGACCUUCAUCCAACGCUCUGAGUGGUGGACUUCUAUCACCACAACACCAGACUCAUCACGUAAGGUCCUAAGAAGCCUCACUCUUCUAAUCAUGUGGGAAGUUUGGAAAGAACGGAAUGCACGUAUUUUCAACAGGCGCGAGACCUCACCAACGACACUGAUGGCGAAAAUUAAGGACGAAGCCUCAGCUUGGCUCUUGGCGGGGGCCAAAGAUUUAGCGUUACUCCUAGCACGCGAGUAGUCCCUUAAGGCCUUCUCAGUUUUUUUUGUUUUAUUUCCUAUACACUCCUGCUCUAUCAAUAAAAUAGGCACUUUCUCGUGCCCGUUCGUAGAAAAAAAACAUCUCUGUUCACUGAGCACUCAGAGAAAGGCUUUGGGGGUGAUUUUUUAUCUGUUUUUUUAGUUUACACGCAGUAUGGAACUCGAGAAUAAAGUCCAAGCAGUGUUAUGUGUAAAUUUUGUAAAAUAAUAUUUGUUGAGAUUUGCUCCGGUGGUCCUUCCCAUGAGAUUUGCACGAAUUUUAAAGCAACGGACAAUUAAUUAAUUAAUUAAUUUUUUUUGUCCGCAGCGCGCCGAGCGUGGACCCCCGAUCCGAUUUCGUCGUGUCGUCGGUAGCGGCGGCGACCGGCGGAAUCCCUGAUCCGAUUUCGACGGCGGCGGCUACGGCAACGGCGGCCACCUCUCCCUGAUCCCUCAUCGCCCUCUGUUUCGGCUGCGACCUGCGACAGCAUGUUGUCGAUUUCAAAGUGACAGAAGCAUGGGUGCGCAUGCUUCUUACUGCUUUGGUCUGACUAUGAAAUGCUACUGUUUGAAUGUCUUCUAAUGUCAUGUCUUCAAGAGUGUAAUAAUGUGUGCGUUCAUCGACAGAAGUGCUUGUUCAACUGAUUUCAUGAUACUGUCAAUUUGUGUGUUCAUCGACAGUGUAGUCUUUUAUAUUUACAGGAGAGAUAAUGCAACCCAGAAUUGAUUUUCGCACACUGACAGGACAUAUAAUGCAACCUGCUCAUCUGCUUGGAAUCUGUCAAUUUGGGUAUCGGCAAGGAACAACGUAUUCUUUCACUUUUACAGUAGAGAUCAUGGAACCAAGAAUCGAUUUCUCAUUAACGUAGAAUAAAUUCUAGACAGCUAUGUGUUGGUACAAAUGGCCAAUAAUCACAUACUGUUAGAUAUUGUGUCGAAUAUAUUGAUGCUGCUCGUUUGAUACAGGUGUAAGGAAGGAGUGGAAAAAAAACAAUACAGCGCUGAGCUGAGCUGCCUACACUGACGCCUCCAGCGGCUCAACCCGUACUUGGGAUGAAGUGUAUCCAGUAUGCAACAAGAAGCCUCACAGUUGCAUUCUUUGAGAAGAUCGCCUGUCAAGAAUCAAUUAUUCCCUGGUCAGAUCACUGCCUUGUUGCUCAUUAGAGAUAAGUUGGAGAAAAACUUUUUAAAAUAGCUGGGUGUACCCUAGUUUCAAUAUGACGUGGCAGCGGUUUUCGCUGAGGUGGCUGCCACUGUGUAUUGGACCCGCAUCUCACAGGGAGGGAGGGGGGGGGGGGGAGCGAGCGAGUUUGAGUGGACAUGGAGCUUGGCAAUGGCGGUGGUAAAGAAGAAAUUGAGAAGCGCAGGCGGAGCGGGAGAUGCUCAGCACGAGAAGGCUCACCGUCGCGGGAGCUCCUCGCCACCCACCGAUGCUCCACAUCUCCUGCUGCCCGCUGGGGCUCCAGGCUGUUGUGCCACCUUCGGGCUUGCUCGCCAAAUGGGUCGCCGCGCUCGCCGUGCAGAGCUGUACUCGUUGGUAGGGUUGUUCGUGCCCUCUCGCUGGCUGGGCUGCCCCGCUUGAGUGCGCGCUGUGAAGCCGCCUGCCGCGGCACUAGGGCUGGCCCUAGAAACUCCACUCCCUCGCUAGAACCGCGUCGGCAGACUCCCGCCUGCCGCCGUAUCGUCAGCUAGGGAAGCGCAGGUCGGGCAGGGUGUAGGGCAACCUCAUGUUAGCUUAUGGUUGCAUAAACACGGGGCGCUUGGGUUUAGCCGUAGACAAGAACUGUGUGGCCAUUUAGCCAAUCAUAUUGGAAGCAACAAAUAGAUGGCAUAGAGAGUUCCAUAUUGCUCCUUAUUUGAGUCAACAAUAUUCCUCACGUGGCAAUAGCCUGGGGCAAUCUUCCAUCAAGGCUAACUAUCAAUGAUCAAGCCUUCCAUUGGCUUAAGGAGAGAGCACUCUGCCAAGACAUGGUGUCAGUUUUUUAUACCUGGCAACCUACCAAGGGGUAUCCCGAGGUAUUAGAUUGGUUAGUGGGGAAUCGUCAGACCUAGAACUCAAAGGUAAAAGCGAGGACACAAGAGACGGAUUUAUACAGGUUCGGGCCACCAGAGUAGCGUAAUACCCUACGUCCUGUUUGGGGUGUUGUAUAUUGCGGCCCGCGCUUGGUUGUUGUUUGGUGUUGAGGAUUUGGUCCUCUGUUGUGGUUCUCUAUAUGCCAAUUGGUGCAAAUGGCAUGUCAUAUCUGUUGGUGCAAUAUGUUGUGUCAAAGAAAAUGCAAUCUUCAAAACUCUUGUACAUCUCUCUAGUCCUCCCAUCUACCCAAAACAAUCCUCUAACAACAUUAUUAUUAUCAUCAAUCAUCGUUGCAUAAUAGAAGGAAGGACUUUCAGCUUGUUACUUUUGAAAAUACUCUAAUGUUGCAUCCAUAUCCCUGUAGGUAAGACCUCCUCUCAAGUGUGUCCUCAUGUUUGAAACAUCCUUGCUGCUGAGAGUAAGGUUGCCAAGCCCCCCAUGGAAAUCAGCAAGCACCCCCAUAUCUGUGUUGUGCUAAUAUUUCUAUGGUGUAGAGUUUUCAGCAGCUCAUAAUCAGCCCACGAGAUGCUUCGGUGGGACCUCAAGUGUUUCCUAACCCCAAUCGCCUUCACCAUGGGAUGAGUAUGGUCAGAUUGCAUUACAAUCACUCUCCACCUCCCAUUUCUCAAGCCAACCGCCAUAUGAGCUUUGCAGUCCAACUUUUUGAUAGUGUUGCUCUUCCUUGUUGCUGUGGUAAGCACAGCUAUUGCCGCUCUUUUUUUUUAUCCCACUAGUGUUGCAGUGUCAUUUGUUGAUGUGCUCGCUGAUGUGUUUUCCUCUCCAUCAUCUUCUCCAUCAAGAGCUGGCUUCCUAGCAUGAGAACACUCCCACUCCUUUCUGCUCAGCUCCUUUGUGACGUUGCUAUUUCUUGAAGAAGCCACUCUUAUGCUGAAACCCAACUUCAUGGCAUACUCAUUGUAAACCCGCCUUGCUUCCUGUAUCGUGUCAAAUUCCAUCCCAAGUUUCGGCACAAUAGGCUGUGAGUAUACGAUGUCUUCAUCCUCAUGGUAGACCUCUUUAUUUGCACCAACUUGUACUGAAACAUAUUCACUUGAGAGUGUUGAUAUGCUCGCAACAGGAACCAAUGCUCCAUCCCCCUGUAAAUCAAUGUUUCAGUUAGUGUUACUAGCAAAAUCAAUGUUGAGAUAUUGCAAAAACUAUACAUGGAAGUAAGAUGUAACAUUCAGUUAGCACAUACAUUUUUUGAUGUUUCAAUAACUUAUUUUCAAUGUGGCACAUGCUAUCAUUAGAUCUUGCAACACUUAUAUGUAACAUUCAGUUAACCCAUGAGCAUUUUGAGAUGUUACAAUAACUGUUUUUCAAUGUUCCACAUGCUAUCAUUAGAUGUUGCAAAACUGUAUAAGAUUUUGUCACAUCUAGUGUUUCAAACGAAUGAGGCUGCGGCUCUGAAAAUCAUACCUGCCGUUUUUGGAGACUCGAUUCGGAUGCCAAUCCCCCAUGGACGCUGCUCGAAAGACCUGGGGGCGGGUGCUGAAGUGAAUUAUCACGCUUGUUUGAAGAAUUCAAUGCAACAUUUAGGGGGUUGGAUGGUCGGCAUACCUGGUAGCGUGUUGCGGUCAAUCAUCUGUAGAUCUAAGGGGUUCCGAGCAACAAUUGGGGGCGGGUAGCUGCCAUGUGGUUGAUCUGGAGGGGGGAGUUCUAUUUUUUGAAGGAUAUGCGCCAUCUUCACUCGGCGCCGACGGAUCUGGGCGGCGGCGACCGGCGGAUCUGGGCGGCGCCGCGAAGCUGGGAGCUCGCUCCUGUCCCGACCCGCGUGAAGAAGUUGACGCCAGGGUGCGCUCCUUGUGUCCUUGUGUUUGGUGCGGACUUGACUGGUUGCCCUCCUUAGGUUUCAUCUGAUGGCUGACACGUCUUUAAUCCGAUGAUGGAGAGUGCGUCCGAUUUUUGCGCCCGGAACGGACGUCUGGGCGCUAGUAGCGCCAAUUAAUAAAACUUCUGUUAUCCAAAAAACCAUUAUGCAUGGUACAAAAGAAUAGGACCAAUCACAUCGAGUUAUUCCUCCUUAGUUGGAGUGUAGUUAAUAGGUGGGCUUUGAGCUGUAUCUGAGCUGAGAUUUUGUGUUGCUUUUGAUUAUUCUGAGUCACUUAUUUUCUUUUUCCUUACUUUUUUUGUAGGGUCCAUAUAUGGGCCUUUCACAAAUGCCAGAACUCUAUUAUAUAAUAAAGCUUCCACUAUUUAAAAAAUACAUGUCAUAUAUAUUACUCCUUUUUAUCACAAAAAAAAUACAUGUCAUAUAUAUUACCGCAUAAUAGCUGAAACAUUCUAUCCAAGCAACAGGUUACCAUAUUCUCAACGUUUCUCAUGAGUUUGGUGUAAUAACUAUUAAAGCGCAAUGGAGAUGAACCAGUACUAUUGUCCUUCUGAUCUGCAAAAUGGUGUAUCGGUGUACUUACAAGUUAGUAAACAUGUUGAUAAAUAUUUUUAUCCACCCUGUGUCACCAUUUCUUAAUUAGUGUUAAGUUAGAGUGACAUAUAUUGCUCUAUGUAUAAGGGAUUCAAGAAAUUCCUGAGGAAACAGAGGGUCCGGUUUUGGGUAGUCCAAAUCAAAAACUAUAAUUUGCCACGCUUUUGGCAAGAGAUUCAACUUCCAUCAGGGUAUGUACCUAUUGACGCAAGAUUUUGACACGUAUUUUGAAUCGGCAUCAGGGAAGGAAAAGAUUGGCCGGUGCGGCGGAUUAAAAGCUACAGUUGGGAAUCGGCCGAUUGGUGCUACAGUGUAUCGGCCGAUUGGCGAAUGGAGUUGAUGAAAGUCGGCCGAUUGGAAGGUUGGGACAGCUGGGCCAAUAUAGGCUUAAGGUGGGCCAGAGAAGAAGAUAGAAAGAGAUUGGCCCAUGGAGGUAUGAUAACCAACUCCGAUACGAGUUGUGUUUGUAAAUAUUUGUUUUCGUUGAAAAUUAGAGAUAGAUAGUCGGUUAGGAAAUCAGUUGUAACAUGCUAUAAAUAGCAAUCUCUAGAGAUUUGUAAAGACAACACAUCAAUCAAUACAAACAAACUACUUUUUUCUCGUACUUUACUUUCAUGUCGGCGACUUCGCCAAUACAUCUUUUUCUUUCACGAGUUCAUACGGAUUGGCAGGGCUGCAUCGACUCGACCACCGGCCGAUUUGUAAGUUCCGUUUAUCAAGUAAUAUCUAAGCUUUAACUUCGAGUGCAUCGCUGUCGUUUCGUUUAGAUUUAUUCACCAGUUAUCGAUAUUUACUAGAAUUAUAGGUUUUAUCUAUUGUUUUAGUUUUUAUCACCAGUUAUCCAGCUUAAGAUUUGAACUGUCGGCUUCAUUACUGUUGUUCUUAUUUAUCGCUACGUAGCCGAUUAGAUCUAUUUCAAGUGAUUGCAUUUGUGGCGUUGUUUAGCCUACUCUAGUAGUUUCUUUACAAUCGCUACGUGAUUAUCGGCUGUUCUGUAGCCGGUCAUCUCUACAGCAAAUCGGCCGAUUCGCUGAUAUGCUUUUCGAGACAGAUCAGAACUUUAGCCGAUUGAAACCCCUAGAAUUUAAUAUGUUUCUUUCCUUGUCAAUCAACAGGUCAGAUUGACUGGCACGCCGCGCGAACCGCACUUGGGCGAUUACCCGAACAGGAGUUAGGCCCUGUUUGGCAACACACUCCUAAACUUUAGUACCUGUCACAUCGGAUGUUUGGAUACUAAUUAGGAGUAUUAAAUAUAGUCUAAUUAUAAAACUAAUUGCACAGAUAGAGUCUAAUUCGCGAGACGAAUCUAUUAAGCCUAAUUAGUCCAUGAUUUGACAAUGUGGUGCUACAGUAACCAUUUGCUAAUGAUGGAUUAAUUAGGCUUAAUAGAUUCGUCUCGUGAAUUAGUAUAGGGGUUCUGCAGUUAAUUUUAUAAUUAGCUCAUGUUUAAUCCUCCUAAUUAGCGUCCGAACAUCCGAUGUGACCCUCCUAACGUUGAAGAUCAUCGGCCGAUUUUUAGCGCCAACAGUACCCAAUAUACAAUGGCUUAGAAUUAGUGCUAUUAACUUUUCGAAAAGUAAGUAUGACAGGUUCCACCAUCAGAAACCUAACCAAUUAAGCUACCCAAUAUACAACAGCUUAGGAUUAGUACUGUUUAGAUCCAUGAGAAUACGAGUAGGUGGACAGGUUCCACCAUCAGGAACCUAACCAAUUAAUUUAAGCUACACUCAGUGUGCACCCAAACUCGAGUGGGUUACAAUUAAUAGUGCGUUAGAGCUGAAGAAUGUUGUGUUGCUUCAUUUGUAUAGAGUAGGAAGUGAAAUAACUGGACAGGCAUGCACCUGGUUAUAGAUAAAGAAAAUUUAUUGAAUUUUCAUCACACAGAUCGAUGGGAACAUUACAACGGCGUCAAUUAGGAUUUGGGCAGCAGCACAUGUCAUAGCCUGCUUCUUGCCUGCAGUAGGCGGGGCUGUUGCUAAUUCCAUGUACCUCGCAUACAUGCACGCAGAUCGGGUCCGUACAAUAGUCUGGAUUAGUGGGCAAAAAGCACGGUUCUGCCCGUGGUGGUGCCCUUGAUGCUGGUGGUGGUGGUGAUUCUUGCGGCAAGUCCCCGUUCAGUGACAGUAACCCAACCCGGCCGCUGAAGCCUACACUAAAAUCAUCAAUUGUUUAGGUUACCGUUCAGUAUAGCAGUUUAGGUAAUAAAAUAAGUAGGGGUGCUUACCGUUCCAAGCUUCGCAAGAUCGGGUGUUUGAAGACAUGAUGGCAAGAAGCGCCAACGAAGUAGCCACCAUGCAUAGAGUCAUGGGAUUAGUAUGCUUGACGAGUGCCAUGAGGAAGGAAGUAGUAUCACAACCAGUUCUUUUUCUGUGGGAGGAGCAAGGGUGCUUGCAGCCCCUUUAUAGAUUGCAUGUCAUCAAAUGUAUCGUGUCAGACUUUGUGGCUGUUAUAUCCUAUCUAUAUGUAUCCAAAACUAGUAUGUUUGGGUAUCUUAGGACUAGGAUUUAUAUCAUGUCCAGCCAUAUAUAUACAUUAUUGAUAGCUUGAUAUCUCAAGUCUAUGAUUUUAUCUUUAUAGCUGAACAAGAAAAUAUGAGUGUCAACAUUUAUAGGCCUGCGGUUUCGGCAGGUGUUCGUAGCUACUACUUCCAUUUCACAUUAUAUAUAGUUAUCUUUCUAGCUUUUUCCCAAGUUAAAUAUUGCAAAAUUCAAUCAUUAAUUUCUAAAGAUUCAUAUAGUUUAACAAUAUAGGAUUAUUUUUUCUCGAUUCAUCAUGACAAAAAGAUGUUGACAGAAGUACUGUAGCAAAGGACCGGCGCUGUUGGUGGAAGCUGAAAUGUGAAGGCCAUUGAUCUAAUAUCUUAGAAAGUUGGCACGUUGUGUUCACGUAAUCAUCUUGAGUUCACCAUGCCACUGCAACUCUACUCUAAGAGAGAUGAGAUAAUUCAUUGAUAUUAGAAAUUGCAGUCUGAAUAGACUUCAAUUUUUUUUCUUAUGCGGCCGGUUUGACUGCAAAAGACAGUUAGAAUGCUACGCAUCGCUGCAUUGUAAUUUGAUGUGCUAGGUCUUGCAUAAUCCAAUAGGUCCUCCCUUGUGUGUGGGAAGCAAAAUUCAGUUGUGUGCUGCCUGUGCAAAACGUCCAAAAGCAUGACUAGAUCACAUGUUCAACCACGAAAUAAAUAAAAAUGAAUGGGUUUGCAUGGGCUGGGGGUGAAAACUCUAUGGCAAUUUGUAGGGAAUUAUCAAAACCGUUUCAUAUAUCAUUUUUGUUAACUCAUACUUGGGACCAAAUAGGGCGAAGACGGAUACUGAGAAACAACUUGAAUUAAUGUAGUCUAGAUCAUUUUUCCCCAGUCCAACACGGUACUGAAAAUUGCUAGUCAGUGGCUCUUUGGGGAAAAAACAAUUUACGGAAAAACUUAUUAAAUUUCACAGAUCACAAUAGAUGCAUGGCUUCCUGAGAGUGCGUUCCUGGCGAUGUGGUACAUGAAGUUGCUUCAUGCUAAUCAUGCUUAUAGUUAGUUUGCAGCUACUCCAUGCGCAAACCAUGAUGUUCAUGGACAAUAUGACUGGCAGUAUAUAAAAAGAACAAUUAACUUCAGAAAACAGAGCUGGCACAUCUAUGAGAUUUUAUUAGCUGGAGUAUGGAACUGGAGGAUAUGGUUGAAGCAAGAGUUGCAAGAUAUCUGCUAGUUUCCAAUGACACAGAGAUUAAGAGAGAUUGGUGAGCUGUUAGCGGAAACUGAAAAACCCAAAUAUGGUGAGCUGUUCAUCGUCGGCGUCAUCAUCUUUAGCACAGCCUUGGGAGGGGCCUCCAAAGAAUCCGGUGCCCUCCGAUACUGUGGUGGGCGCCAUGGUUGGGGCUAAUACCACCGACACCCCCCUACUGCCGCGGCCGUCGCAACCUGAGCCGCGGUGCAGCUGCAGUGCACUUUAUCGGGUUGAGCCGUGUCUCGAGUUCCUCCCGGCACCGGUGGGAGGGGCCGGACCAGCGGCGCCCUGUCUGCCACCGUCGCCGCUAGCGCCCGUCCACCACCGUGGCACCGCGGUCACAUGGAUGGCGCCUUGUAGGAUGUUGCUGAUGUACAGCGCGGUGCAGACUCCGGCGAUGCAUGGCUAUGGUUCCUGCAACCUGGCGGCGUUCGUGGACAGCACAAUGGCGGAAGGUGGCGACUAGAUGCUAUCAUCACUGUACCUGCAAUGACGUGAACAAGAUCCAGCUUGAUUAACCUUUAAAAUACACGAAUCGAGAUAUGAGUUAAGUUCCGGGUUGAGUACCCAAUCGUUAUGAAAUACACGAACGCUACGCAUCGCUGCAUUGUAAUUUGAUGUGCUAGGUCUUGCAUAAUCCAAUAGGUCCUCCCUUGUGUGUGGGAAGCAAAAUUCAGUUGUGUGCUGCCUGUGCAAAACGUCCACAAGCAUGACUAGAUCACAUGUUCAACCACGAAAUAAAUAAAAAUGAAUGGGUUUGCUUGGGCUGGGGGUGAAAACUCUAUGGCAGUUUGUAUGGAAUUAUCAAAACCGUUUCAUAUAUCAUUUUUGUUAGCUCAUACUUGGGACCAAAUAGGGCGAAGACGGAUACUGAGAAACAACUUCAAUUAAUGUAGUCUAGCUCAUUUUGCCCCAGUCCAACACGGUACUGAAAAUUGCUAGUCAGUGGCUCUUUGGGGAAAAACAAUUUACGGAAAAGUUAUUAAAUUUCACAGAUCACAAUAGAUGCAUGGCUUCCUGAGAGUGCGUUCCUGGCGAUGUGGUACAUAUGAAGUUGCAUCAUGCUAAUCAUGCUUAUAGUUAGAUUGCAGCUACUCCAUGCGCAAACCAUGAUGUUCAUGGACAAGAUGACUGGCAGUAUAUAAAAAGAACAAUUAACUUCAGAAAACAGAGCUGGCACAUCUAUGAGAUUUUAUUAGGUGGAGUAUGGAACUGGAGGAUGUGGUUGAAGCAAGAGUUGCAAGAUAUCUGCUAGUUUCCAAUGACACAGAGAUUAAGAGAGAUUGGUGAGCUGUUAGCGGAAACUGAAAAGCCCAAAUUUGGUGAGCUGUUCAUCGUCGGCGUCAUCAUCUUUAGCACAGCCUUGGGAGGGGCCUCCAAUGAAUCCGGUGCCCUCCGAUACUGUGGUGGGCGCCAUGGUUGGGGCUAAUACCACCGACACCCCCCUACUGCCGCGGCCGUCGCAACCUGAGCCGCGGUGCAGCUGCAGUGCACUUUAUCGGGUUGAGCCGUGUCUCGAGUUCCUCCCGGCACCGGUGGGAGGGGCCGGACCAGCGGCGCCCUGUCUGCCGCCGUCGCCGCUUGCGCCCAUCCACCACCGUGGCACCGCGGUCACAUGGAUGGCGCUUUGUAGGAUGUUGCUGAUGGACAGCGCGGUGCAGACUCCGGCGAUGCAUGGCUAUGGUUGCUGCAAGCUGGCGGCAUUCGUGGACAGCACAAUGGCGGAAGGUGGCAACUAGAUGCUAUCGUCACUGUACCUGCAAUGACGUGAACAAGAUCCAGCUUGAUUAACCUUUAAAAUACACGAAUCGAGAUACGAGUUAAGUUCCGGGUUGAGUACCCAAUCGUUAUGAAAUACACGAAUGCUACUAAUAUAAUCUUUGGUUGGUACUCCUGCGUCCUAAAAAGACUGCUUGAAACCAUCCAACAAAAACCCGCAUAAUACCUUCCAGCCCAAUUAAUAAAUCAAUAAUUUAUUCCCAUCAUCGACGCCCAAGCCAGACUCGCUCGGCCAUUCGGCCAUUCCAUCGCCGCUUCGUUCGGUUGCCCCUCCCCAUUCCAUGUCCGCAUAUAGCUUCGGAAAUCAGAACCGUGCUGCAAUUGUGCAGUGCGGAUUGCAUUAUUUUGCAGCAUCAGCGGCAUGAUGCAUUGCUGGUUUCAGAAAUGUUCCAGAAAUUCUGCUUGUAGGAAGUUAUCACUUAUAAAUGAGCAUAGGAAGUUAUGUAUCCAUCCUGAAAUGUUGCGGAAACUUUGCAAACAAAAUUAAAACAGAAAUAAAUUUGAUACUGUUACACUAGUGCACAGAGACACAUAAGAUGGUGGAGCAAACUGAGGGGUCCAGAUCAUUUGAUCACCAUCAACAGCUUGGGCUCCUCAAGAGGACAAUCCAGUGGUGACUUGUGCGCAAUGACGGUAAGAGCGAGAUAUAUUGGCAGAUGAGAGAUUAUUUUCCGGCGAACAUGAACUUUUGUUUAACGUUCCGUAUACUUUGGUCACUCCCAUAUUAAUUCAGCCAUUGUAUCAGGCUGUUCCGGCUUUGAGGAGUCUCGAUGCCGAGGGUACACGGAAGCGGCUUGAGGUCCUUGGCUGCUCGAGCACACGACAGCUCAAGCUUGACAAGGCGAUCAGAUCCAGCAGACUGGGUGGCGGCCAGAGGCCACCACAACUCUGCGCUAAGAGAGAUGACAUAAUUGGUUGCUCCCAGAAAUGGCAGCAAGAAUAUACUUCAAUUUUUUCCUUGAGCAAUCAACUUGACAUGGAAGGACAGUUAGAAUGCUAUGCAUUGCUGCAUUAUAAUAUAAUUGGAGGUCACAUAAUAUACUAGUUCCUCACUUAUGUGUGCGAAGUAACAUCGAAAUUUCUGCUAGCUGUGAGGAACACACUGAAUUCAUGGUACAAAUGCUUGACAUUGAACAAUUGCAGAAUAUUUUGCCAAAAACAGCAUCAGCUUGUUUUCAAGGAUGCACACGCUAGUGAAUCUUUAAAACUUGAUCAAAAUUGUCAUUUUUGAGAGAAAUAGAUGAACCCAUAUGCAUUUCAGGUCAUGCGGUACAAGAAUUAGAAUAGCAUGCUAGUCCUGUUUUGGUUUGCAGCAUGGGCAUGCCAAACCCAUGUUGUACAGGAAGGCACGCAAUAUACACACACACAUAUGAUUCUUGUCAGUUACCAAAAUGAAACAUUUAUAGUACAGAUAACAGAGCAUUGUGUGGGUCUUUAGUUCUACAGGGAGUAUGGAACAGUAGGAAAACGUCAAAUCAGCGUUAUGUCUAGUUGCGUAAAGCAAUAUGAGUUUAUGGCCAACAGUAGAUUUCUAGUAGUAACAGAGAAAAACAGAGAUGUUGAGAUAUUGGAGAGAACUGAAAUGGCCAAGAAUAGUUUGGUCAAUAUAGAGAGUAGAGCCGUCAAACAGAGAAGGUUGAUCAUCGCAGUCUGACGGAAUACACAAGGGAGGGAACGAAGGACCUUGCCGAAAUUGUGGCCAAGGACGCCAAUCUCAUAAUAUCCUAUACUUCAGUGGUCACUCGGCACUUCGUCCUUGCUGGACUAGUCAAGAUCAUUCCAUCAUGGUUCCCAGCGCACUUGACACUCAAGUCCAUGUUCAUCAGUCCCAGAAAAUGUUUGUGGUCGCCGCCACCGCUAGCUAAUGCUUGCAAUCACAUCUUCAUAUGCGUAUGCUAUGGUUUAGAAUCCUAUACAUUUCCUGUUCAGCACUUUCUAUUGUCACUCUCUAUAGAGAUUGCAUGGACUACUCUGUCAUCAAUACAGCUCCAUUUUGAUAGCUCCGAAUAUAUGAAUUCUGUGCUGCAACAGCAGUGCAGAAUUAGUGAUGGAUUAGUUUGCCCACACUGGAUAGAUUGCCAUUUCUGACGUGUAAAGGUUGUUAGACCAGCAUUGUACGGUUGAAAAACAACAGGUGCAUGAGUUUCUCCUCAUGAAAAAUGCACAACCAAAAGCAUGACAAAACCACACGUUUAAAGACGAAAAAAUAAACCGGAUGGGAUCACAUGGUUGGGGGGGUGAAAACUGUAUGAUGUUAGUACGAAACAUGAAACAUCAAAACCAUUUCGUAUAACACUUCUUUUUAGCUCAUGGUUGGAAUCAAUUAAGGCGAAGCCAGAAUGCCGGAUACAGACAAGCAACAGGAAUUAUUGUAAUCUCGAUCAUUUUGCCUAGAACCAACACGUACGGCGCUGAAAAUUUCUUCUGAGGACGUACAAGCUAGUGGCUCUUUGGGAAAAAUAAUGUAAAGGGAAGUUACCAAAUUUCAGAGAUCACAAGUUCCUGGCGAUGUGGGACAUAUGAAGCAGCAGCAUGCUAACCAUCUUACUAUUACUAAUUGGAGGCUUCUUUUGAAACCUCCAGGUGAAGCCAUCUAGGAUUCCUAGGUGGACACUCAGAGAAACCUUAGAAAUUCUCAAAAAAAGCAAAAUAUCCGACCAUCGAUCGAUAGAUUCAAAUCAUCAUAGCCAUUAGAUCUAUUAUGUUUUCUAAAAAAUUACCCACCUAUGCCAUUAUGAAAAUAGCCUAAAGUAACCUCCUAAAUCUAUAUAUAAAUUACCCACAUCUGCCAUUAUAUAAAAUAAACUAAAAUAACCCCUUAAUCUUCAUCAAAAUUACCCAUUUAUGCCAUUAUAAAUAAUAUUUAAAAUAACCCCCUAAUUUGCAACCAAAUUGCCCACCGCUAUUACUUAAAAACUUAAAGUAACCCGUUAAAUUUGCAUCUAUAUUACCCACACAUGCCAUUAUUAAAAAUAACAUGGUAACCCUACGUUUGAAUCAAACAACCUUAAUUAAAAAUAUACAACAAUAUAUGAUUCUAAAUCGUCUAUAUCUUGCACUAUUGGUAUAUGAUAUAAUAAUUAAGGUCUAUACACAUGAUGUGUCACCAUUUAUAAAGAUAUAGAGGAAGUGAUGAGAAUAUAUAUUUCUAUGUUAAAAUUGUAUCACAAAAUUAGGGUUCAUUAAACAAAUUCAAGCGCAUACCUGCCAUGCAAAGUGAAAAGUUAAAGAUUAUAAAUGUGGAUAAAAAUAUUAUAGAGUAAUUACUAACUAAAAUCUAUCACAAUUGAAUGAAGAUAAUAAUAUGUAUCUAUUGUGUUUGAAUAUUUAACAAACGAGAGGGAUCUUAUGGUAAUAUUUUUUAGCAAUGUAGUCCUAUUUUUUUUUUCCAUUGGAGACUCUAUUAUAUUUUCACCACUAUCAUUGUGAAAAUAUUCAAAAAUGAGCUCUAAACCUGUAUCUAAAUUACCGAGCUCAGCUAUUAUGUAUCAUAGCCAUUGAUCUAUUAUAUUUUCACCACUAUCAUUGUGAAAAUAUUCAAAAAUGAGCUCUAAACCUGUAUCUAAAUUACCGAGCUCAGCUAUUAUAAAAAAUAAUCUAAAGUAAUCCCAUAAUCUUCAUCCAAUUUACUAAUACAUAUCAUUAUAAAGCAUAACUUAAAAUAUCAUUCUAAAAUUUAAUCUAUAUUACCCACGUUAGUUGUUAUUCAAAAUAACCUAAAUUAAACAUCUAAAUCUUAAUCUAAUUAUCUUCAUGUGCAUCGUACAGAAAUAUAAAAAAUAAACUAAUAUAUAAUUCUAAAUUACUUAUUUAUGUUAUUAUUAAUAUAAAAAUACUAAGUUAAAGUAUAUACAUAUGAUGAGUGUCACCAUUUAGACCAUUUAUACAUGUAUGUGAGGAAUCGAUGAAAAAUAUUGAUUUGUAUGCUAAACAUAAUGUAUGGAGGAUUGGAGGUGCGAUACAAAAUGGAAAAAGUAUGAAUAUGGAUGAAAAAAUGCAUAGAGUAAUUAUUAAUUAAAAAUUAAUCAUAACGAUAGGUACAUAUCUAUAUAAGUAUUAUGUUGAUGUAUUGAAAAAAAUAAGAGAGUAGUAGGUAAUCAAUUUUGAUUAUUAGCUAGAAGUUUAAUUUCUAAAGAAUUUUUAAAUAUAAUAGUUUCUAAAAACAUUAGCCCGUGCAGGAGCACGGGUCGAUGGACUAGUGCUUAUAAUUUGCAGCUACAUCGUGCCAAAACCAUGUGAACAAGACGAUCGACCAAAACUAUAAAAAGAACAGAGCUGGCACAUCUAUAAGAUACUUUUUAGAUGGAGCAUGGAACCGCAGGAUAUGGUUGCAGUAAGAGUUGCUAGAUAUCCGCUAGUUUCCGGUGACACAGAGAUUAAGAGAGAUUGGUGAGCUGUUAGUGGAAACUGAAAGAGCCAAGUAUGGUGAGCUGUUCAUCGUCAGCCUCAUCAUCUUGAGCGCAGCCUUGGGAGCAGCCUCUCAUAUAUGAAUCGGACACCCUCCAUCCCUUUCCACGACCGGCAUCAUGGCCGUGCUGACAGCACCGACACCAAUCCUCACUGUCACCGCUGUCGCCACUGGACCCGCAGUGCAGAUACAGCGCACUAUGCAGAAUAGACCAUCCCAUUCCACGACCGGCAUCAUGGCCGUGCUGACAGCACCGACACCACGCCUCACUGUCACCGCUGGCGCCACUGGAGCCGCAGUGCAGAUACAGCGCACUCUGCAGAAUAGAACCUUGUCGUAUUCAAAUUUGCACCGUUUGGAUACCUCGUGUAGCACAUGUCAUCAGAUAUAGAAAUUAGGAGUAUUAAACAUAGAUUAAUUAAAAAAUUAACUGUACAGAUGGAGUCUAAUUCGUGAGACGAAUCUAUUAAGCAUGAUUUGUAGUGCUACAGUAACCAUUUGCGAUUGAUGGAUUAAUUAAACUUAAUAGAUUCGUCUCGUGAAUUAGCACAAGAUUUUGCAAUUAGUUUUAUAAUGAGCUCAUGUUUAGUCCUCUUAAUUAGCAUCCGAACAUCAUCCGAUAUAACACUGCUAAAUCUUAGCACCAGUAUCCAAACGUCCCCUCACGAGCUUGUACACAAAUUCCAAACUAGAGGACUGUUUAUUCUUGCAAACAUAACAACUGAUGACCAAACAUCCAGCAAGAGAGAUACAGAGAGGAACGAACGAUGUGUAAGGAUACAUCAAAAUACAAGGCCAGAUCCUUUGAGUUUCUCUUGUACGAUGUCGUCCAAUUUCCUGGCCAUUUCUUCACUAAUGUGAUUCACCCAAUCCCCCACCUUCCCUCUUCUAAAGUAUGCUGAUUUUUUAACCACUACGCUUCCCCUUUGAACAACUUCUGUUUGACUACUGUUCACUCCACUAAGCGUCUUGAAGCUGCACAAUCUCACAAGCUCUUCAGGAACCCCGGCAUCUUCUUCUUCACCGGUAAAUGGGGCACCGAGGAAUGAUGCCAGCACCUUGACAAACUUUACCGGCUCUAACAUCAUCUCUUCAUACUUUAGGAAAAGAAUUCUAUCAGACUUAACGCUCUCUCUCCAAUAUUCGAGACAGUGAUCCCAGUAAGGACCAUAGUCCACUACGCCCUCGCAAAACAUGUUGAAUGCAACAUUAAUAUCAGUUUUUUCUCCAAAAAAAUCACUUACAAAGUGCCACCGUGACACGAAUGCAUCCUUAGGAUCUCGGCAGAUGUACACGAUUCGGCAACCUUGGAUUCUUAUGGACUCUGGGAGCAAUGAAAGCGGCAAGUGAGUAGCAAGGAUCCUCGGAGGCGGGAGUUUUUCGAUGAAGUUCAGGUCCCCAUUUAAAGGGAUUUCAACGUCAAUGGUCGGAAUGACUUCUUGGGGGUGACGGGUGAGAAGCGGGUGGUUACCAGAGUCAUAGUGAGAACGGUUGGUGAUAGCAAAUGAGAGAGCCUUCAACCAAGUUGUACCACACUUGGGGUUCGUGGCGAGGAUGAUAUCGUCAUGGCGAGCCUUGAAGGUCGCCUCCAGGAGCAUAAUCCUCUCAAGAAAAAUCCGUCGAAACCAGAAGUUCUUGUACAGAAUUUGUGGCUCUGACGGAGUCUCUCUCAUUGGAAGUUUGGAUAUGAGAUCAGUACCAUGGCUUUCGGGCGAGCUGUUUGUGGCGCUUCUCUCCUCCUUGGCCUGUGACAUUGCUCAGCUUCUUUGGAGUUUUUGCAGUCUCUCGCUGGGAUGGAAUGGAUUGGAUGGGCGAGAGGUGUAGCUGGUGCGGAUUGAGCAGCACUGCUGGCGUGCGGAACAUAAAUAGCAGCUGGUAGCC
RNAcentral lists this long non-coding RNA (23134 nucleotides) under Setaria italica (foxtail millet). RNAcentral's name for it is "long non-coding RNA (SITA_LNC006113)". Lineage: Eukaryota; Viridiplantae; Streptophyta; Magnoliopsida; Poales; Poaceae. The record is from RNAcentral.